UACGGGGGGGGCAAGCGUUGUUCGGAAUUACUGGGCGUAAAGGGCUCGUAGGCGGCCAACUAAGUCGGACGUGAAAUCCCCAGGCUCAACCUGGGAACUGCGUCCGAUACUGGAUGGCUUGAAUCCGGGAGAGGGAUGCGGAAUUCCAGGUGUAGCGGUGAAAUGCGUAGAUAUCUGGAGGAACACCGGUGGCGAAGGCGGCAUCCUGGACCGGUAUUGACACUGAGGAGCGAAAGCCAGGGGAGCAAACGGG
This 253-nucleotide ribosomal RNA is filed under the name uncultured bacterium. RNAcentral's name for it is "partial 16S ribosomal RNA". It matches the Rfam family "Bacterial small subunit ribosomal RNA", at positions 524 to 776 of the family's 1533-position model. The record is from RNAcentral.